AGAAUCAACGCUGGCGGCGUGCCUAACACAUGCAAGUCGCACGAGAAAGGGGAGCAAUCCCUGAGUACAGUGGCGCACGGGUGAGUAACACGUGAAUAAUCUACCUCCGAGUGGGGAAUAACUGAGAGAAAUCUUAGCUAAUACCGCAUAACACUUACGAGUCAAAGCAGCAAUGCGCUUGGAGAGGAGUUCGCGGCCGAUUAGUUAGUUGGCGGGGUAAUGGCCCACCAAGACGAUGAUCGGUAUCCGGCCUGAGAGGGCGCACGGACACACUGGAACUGAAACACGGUCCAGACUCCUACGGAGGCAGCAGUGGGAAUUUUGCGCAAUGGGGAAACCCUGACGCAGCAACGCCGCGUGGAGGAUGAAGCCCCUUGGGGUGUAAACUCUUCGAUCGGAAGAUAGUGACGGUACCGAUAUAAGACGCCCGGCUAACUUCGUGCCAGCAGCCGC
RNAcentral lists this ribosomal RNA (453 nucleotides) under uncultured bacterium. Its description in RNAcentral is "SSU rRNA". It matches the Rfam family "Bacterial small subunit ribosomal RNA", at positions 26 to 518 of the family's 1533-position model. The record is from RNAcentral.